Molecule: ribosomal RNA, 434 nt
Filed under: uncultured Clostridium sp.
Lineage: Bacteria; Bacillati; Bacillota; Clostridia; Eubacteriales; Clostridiaceae
Description: partial 16S ribosomal RNA
Rfam family: Bacterial small subunit ribosomal RNA
Source: RNAcentral
ACGGAAGGCAGCAGUGGGGAAUAUUGCACAAUGGGGGAAACCCUGAUGCAGCAACGCCGCGUGAGUGAUGACGGUCUUCGGAUUGUAAAGCUCUGUCUUUAGGGACGAUAAUGACGGUACCUAAGGAGGAAGCCACGGCUAACUACGUGCCAGCAGCCGCGGUAAUACGUAGGUGGCAAGCGUUGUCCGGAUUUACUGGGCGUAAAGGGAGCGUAGGCGGAUUUUUAAGUGGGAUGUGAAAUACUCGGGCUCAACCUGGGUGCUGCAUUCCAAACUGGAAGUCUAGAGUACAGGAGGGGAAAGCGGAAUUCCUAGUGUAGCGGUGAAAUGCGUAGAGAUUAGGAAGAACACCAGUGGCGAAGGCGGCUUUCUGGACUGUAACUGACGCUGAGGCUCGAAAGCGUGGGGAGCAAACAGGAUUAGAUACCCUGGUA